UACGUAGGUGGCAAGCGUUGUCCGGAAUUAUUGGGCGUAAAGCGCACGUAGGCGGCCAUGUAAGUCGGGUGUGAAAGCCCUCGGCUCAACCGAGGAACUGCGCCCGAUACUGCAUGGCUUGAGGUCCGGAGGGGAGAGUGGAAUUCCUGGUGUAGCGGUGGAAUGCGCAGAUAUCUGGAGGAACACCGGUGGCGAAGGCGGCAUCCUGGACCAACACUGACGCUGAUGAGCGAAAGCCAGGGGAGCAAACGGG
RNAcentral lists this ribosomal RNA (253 nucleotides) under uncultured bacterium. Its description in RNAcentral is "partial 16S ribosomal RNA". It matches the Rfam family "Bacterial small subunit ribosomal RNA", at positions 524 to 776 of the family's 1533-position model. The record is from RNAcentral.